Molecule: ribosomal RNA, 493 nt
Filed under: uncultured bacterium
Lineage: Bacteria
Description: partial 16S ribosomal RNA
Rfam family: Bacterial small subunit ribosomal RNA
Source: RNAcentral
AUUGAACGCUGGCGGCAUGCUUUACACAUGCAAGUCGAACGGCAACGAGGAGAAGCUUGCUUCUCUGUCGGCGAGUGGCGAACGGGUGAGUAUAGCAUCGGAACGUGCCAAGUAGUGGGGGAUAACCAAACGAAAGUUUGGUUAAUACCGCGUAAGCUCCAAGGAGGAAAGUAGGGGACCUAAAUAAGGCCUUACGCUAUUUGAUCGGCCGAUGUCGGAUUAGCUAGUUGGUGGGGUAAUGGCUCACCAAGGCAAUGAUCCGUAGCGGGUCUGAGAGGACGAUCCGCCACACUGGGACUGAGACACGGCCCAGACUCCUACGGGAGGCAGCAGUGGGGAAUUUUGGACAAUGGGGGAAACCCUGAUCCAGCCAUGCCGCGUGUAUGAAGAAGGCCUUAGGGUUGUAAAGUACUUUUGUUAGGGAAGAAAAGCUAGUUUUUAAUAAAAAUUAGUGAUGACGGUACCUAAAGAAUAAGCACCGGCUAACUACGUG